This 535-nucleotide long non-coding RNA is filed under the name Monodelphis domestica (gray short-tailed opossum). Its description in RNAcentral is "lncRNA (ENSMODG00000036169.2)". Lineage: Eukaryota; Metazoa; Chordata; Mammalia; Didelphimorphia; Didelphidae. The record is from RNAcentral.
AGCACAAACAAUGUCUCCCCCCAGACUUUGGAACUGAAUUGGGAUCUCCCUUUUGUUAAGUUCUUUUUAAGGAUAACAGGAUUUAGGGUAGGGCCAAACAGCCACUUGACCCACUUGAGAGAUUGAGUAAUAAAAUCAGCAAGCUCCAGGCAACAUUUUGGACUGCAGUGACUCAGCCAUGUGGUGGGAAGGAAGGGACAUGUAGGUGUCCUUAGGACCCUCCUCUUCCUGAGAUGAGGCAAUGGGGGCGGCUGAUCUUGCAGCAGGCGCUCGCUCCAUGACCUCUACUCUGCUCUCUACAGAAAACCAAAGUGGGGUUGGGGAGGCCAGGAGCUGCCAUCAAGCAGAAGAAGCAGAAGAUACAAAGUCUGAAGAAAAGAAAGCUAAAGAAGAGUAUGAACAGGUACCUUUGAAUGACAGUCACAAGGAAGAUGAGCAGCUGUUCUCCAUCCCCUGGAUCUUCAUAGCACCUUGUUUCCCAUAGAAUGUAAACUUCUCGAGGGUUUUUAUGUCCUAAGACAGCACAGUGCCUGAC